RNAcentral lists this ribosomal RNA (466 nucleotides) under uncultured bacterium. RNAcentral's name for it is "bacterial SSU rRNA". It matches the Rfam family "Bacterial small subunit ribosomal RNA", at positions 330 to 794 of the family's 1533-position model. The record is from RNAcentral.
GCCAGACUCCUACGGGAGGCAGCAGUGAGGAAUAUUGGUCAAUGGGCGUAAGCCUGAACCAGCCAAGUCGCGUGAGGGACGACGGCCCUACGGGUUGUAAACCUCUUUUGCCGGGGGACAAACGGCGGCACGCGUGCCGUCCUGAGGGUACCCGGAGAAAAAGCAUCGGCUAACUCCGUGCCAGCAGCCGCGGUAAUACGGAGGAUGCGAGCGUUAUCCGGAUUUAUUGGGUUUAAAGGGUGCGCAGGCGGAUUGUCAAGUCGGGGAUAAAAUGGGGGGGCUCCCCCCCUCCCCGCCAUUGAAACUGGCGUUCUUGAGUGGAAGAGAAGUAUGCGGAAUGCGUGGUGUAGCGGUGAAAUGCAUAGAUAUCACGCAGAACCCCGAUUGCGAAGGCAGCAUGCCGGCGUCCGACUGACGCUGAAGCACGAAAGCGUGGGGAUCGAACAGGAUUAGAUACCCCAGUACA